This 293-nucleotide ribosomal RNA is filed under the name uncultured Acidobacteriota bacterium. Its description in RNAcentral is "uncultured Acidobacteria bacterium partial 16S ribosomal RNA". Lineage: Bacteria; Pseudomonadati; Acidobacteriota. The record is from RNAcentral.
GGACUACCGGGGUAUCUAAUCCCGUUCGCUCCCCUGGCUUUCGCGCAUCAGCGUCAGUGUCGGCCCAGCAACCCGCCUUCGCCGCAGGUGUUCCUCUCGAUAUCUACGCAUUUCACCGCUACACCGAGAAUUCCAGUUGCCCCUUCCGCACUCUAGCCCGACAGUAUCACUUGACCGUUCCGAGUUAAGCCCGGAGAUUUCACAAGUGACUUGUCACGGCCGCCUACGCGCCCUUUACGCCCAGUAAAUCCGAACAACGCUUGCUCCCCCCGUAUUACCGCGGCUGCUGGCAC